UACAGAGGGUGCAAACGUUGCUCGGAAUCAUUGGGCGUAAAAGGGCGUGUAGGCGGUUUGUUAAGUCAUGUGUGAAAUCCCUCGGCUCAACCGGGGAACGACGCAUGAAACUGGCAAGCUAGAGUACCAAAGAGGGGGGUGGAAUUCCCGGUGUAGCGGUGAAAUGCGCAGAGUUCGGGAGGAACACCAAUGGCGAAAGCGAAGGUACCUGG
RNAcentral lists this ribosomal RNA (212 nucleotides) under uncultured bacterium. RNAcentral's name for it is "partial 16S ribosomal RNA". It matches the Rfam family "Bacterial small subunit ribosomal RNA", at positions 524 to 732 of the family's 1533-position model. The record is from RNAcentral.